Molecule: ribosomal RNA, 2802 nt
Filed under: Escherichia coli
Lineage: Bacteria; Pseudomonadati; Pseudomonadota; Gammaproteobacteria; Enterobacterales; Enterobacteriaceae
Description: partial 23S ribosomal RNA
Rfam family: Bacterial large subunit ribosomal RNA
Source: RNAcentral
GGGUUGUGAGGUUAAGCGACUAAGCGUACACGGUGGAUGCCCUGGCAGUCAGAGGCGAUGAAGGACGUGCUAAUCUGCGAUAAGCGUCGGUAAGGUGAUAUGAACCGUUAUAACCGGCGAUUUCCGAAUGGGGAAACCCAGUGUGAUUCGUCACACUAUCAUUAACUGAAUCCAUAGGUUAAUGAGGCGAACCGGGGGAACUGAAACAUCUAAGUACCCCGAGGAAAAGAAAUCAACCGAGAUUCCCCCAGUAGCGGCGAGCGAACGGGGAGCAGCCCAGAGCCUGAAUCAGUGUGUGUGUUAGUGGAAGCGUCUGGAAAGGCGCGCGAUACAGGGUGACAGCCCCGUACACAAAAAUGCACAUGCUGUGAGCUCGAUGAGUAGGGCGGGACACGUGGUAUCCUGUCUGAAUAUGGGGGGACCAUCCUCCAAGGCUAAAUACUCCUGACUGACCGAUAGUGAACCAGUACCGUGAGGGAAAGGCGAAAAGAACCCCGGCGAGGGGAGUGAAAAAGAACCUGAAACCGUGUACGUACAAGCAGUGGGAGCACGCUUAGGCGUGUGACUGCGUACCUUUUGUAUAAUGGGUCAGCGACUUAUAUUCUGUAGCAAGGUUAACCGAAUAGGGGAGCCGAAGGGAAACCGAGUCUUAACUGGGCGUUAAGUUGCAGGGUAUAGACCCGAAACCCGGUGAUCUAGCCAUGGGCAGGUUGAAGGUUGGGUAACACUAACUGGAGGACCGAACCGACUAAUGUUGAAAAAUUAGCGGAUGACUUGUGGCUGGGGGUGAAAGGCCAAUCAAACCGGGAGAUAGCUGGUUCUCCCCGAAAGCUAUUUAGGUAGCGCCUCGUGAAUUCAUCUCCGGGGGUAGAGCACUGUUUCGGCAAGGGGGUCAUCCCGACUUACCAACCCGAUGCAAACUGCGAAUACCGGAGAAUGUUAUCACGGGAGACACACGGCGGGUGCUAACGUCCGUCGUGAAGAGGGAAACAACCCAGACCGCCAGCUAAGGUCCCAAAGUCAUGGUUAAGUGGGAAACGAUGUGGGAAGGCCCAGACAGCCAGGAUGUUGGCUUAGAAGCAGCCAUCAUUUAAAGAAAGCGUAAUAGCUCACUGGUCGAGUCGGCCUGCGCGGAAGAUGUAACGGGGCUAAACCAUGCACCGAAGCUGCGGCAGCGACACUGAUGUGUUGUUGGGUAGGGGAGCGUUCUGUAAGCCUGCGAAGGUGUGCUGUGAGGCAUGCUGGAGGUAUCAGAAGUGCGAAUGCUGACAUAAGUAACGAUAAAGCGGGUGAAAAGCCCGCUCGCCGGAAGACCAAGGGUUCCUGUCCAACGUUAAUCGGGGCAGGGUGAGUCGACCCCUAAGGCGAGGCCGAAAGGCGUAGUCGAUGGGAAACAGGUUAAUAUUCCUGUACUUGGUGUUACUGCGAAGGGGGGACGGAGAAGGCUAUGUUGGCCGGGCGACGGUUGUCCCGGUUUAAACGUGUAGGCUGGUUUUCCAGGCAAAUCCGGAAAAUCAAGGCUGAGGCGUGAUGACGAGGCACUACGGUGCUGAAGCAACAAAUGCCCUGCUUCCAGGAAAAGCCUCUAAGCAUCAGGUAACAUCAAAUCGUACCCCAAACCGACACAGGUGGUCAGGUAGAGAAUACCAAGGCGCUUGAGAGAACUCGGGUGAAGGAACUAGGCAAAAUGGUGCCGUAACUUCGGGAGAAGGCACGCUGAUAUGUAGGUGAAGUCCCUCGCGGAUGGAGCUGAAAUCAGUCGAAGAUACCAGCUGGCUGCAACUGUUUAUUAAAAACACAGCACUGUGCAAACACGAAAGUGGACGUAUACGGUGUGACGCCUGCCCGGUGCCGGAAGGUUAAUUGAUGGGGUCAGCGCAAGCGAAGCUCUUGAUCGAAGCCCCGGUAAACGGCGGCCGUAACUAUAACGGUCCUAAGGUAGCGAAAUUCCUUGUCGGGUAAGUUCCGACCUGCACGAAUGGCGUAAUGAUGGCCAGGCUGUCUCCACCCGAGACUCAGUGAAAUUGAACUCGCUGUGAAGAUGCAGUGUACCCGCGGCAAGACGGAAAGACCCCGUGAACCUUUACUAUAGCUUGACACUGAACAUUGAGCCUUGAUGUGUAGGAUAGGUGGGAGGCUUUGAAGUGUGGACGCCAGUCUGCAUGGAGCCGACCUUGAAAUACCACCCUUUAAUGUUUGAUGUUCUAACGUGGACCCGUGAUCCGGGUUGCGGACAGUGUCUGGUGGGUAGUUUGACUGGGGCGGUCUCCUCCUAAAGAGUAACGGAGGAGCACGAAGGUUGGCUAAUCCUGGUCGGACAUCAGGAGGUUAGUGCAAUGGCAUAAGCCAGCUUGACUGCGAGCGUGACGGCGCGAGCAGGUGCGAAAGCAGGUCAUAGUGAUCCGGUGGUUCUGAAUGGAAGGGCCAUCGCUCAACGGAUAAAAGGUACUCCGGGGAUAACAGGCUGAUACCGCCCAAGAGUUCAUAUCGACGGCGGUGUUUGGCACCUCGAUGUCGGCUCAUCACAUCCUGGGGCUGAAGUAGGUCCCAAGGGUAUGGCUGUUCGCCAUUUAAAGUGGUACGCGAGCUGGGUUUAGAACGUCGUGAGACAGUUCGGUCCCUAUCUGCCGUGGGCGCUGGAGAACUGAGGGGGGCUGCUCCUAGUACGAGAGGACCGGAGUGGACGCAUCACUGGUGUUCGGGUUGUCAUGCCAAUGGCACUGCCCGGUAGCUAAAUGCGGAAGAGAUAAGUGCUGAAAGCAUCUAAGCACGAAACUUGCCCCGAGAUGAGUUCUCCCUGAC